This 520-nucleotide long non-coding RNA is filed under the name Mytilus galloprovincialis (Mediterranean mussel). The record is from RNAcentral. Lineage: Eukaryota; Metazoa; Mollusca; Bivalvia; Mytilida; Mytilidae.
AGCCGAUCCAUCAUCCAAGAUGGCCGCCAGCGGGGGACUUAGUUUAACAUAGGACCCUAUGGGAAAUGCAUACAAAUGACUUCUUUUAGAGAACCACUGAAUGGAAUGAAACCAAACAUGGCAUGAAUGUUCCUUAUGAGGUGCUGACCAAGUUUGUUACUUUGUAGCCGAUCCAUCAUCCAAGAUGGCGCCAGCGGGGGACUUAGUUUAACAUAGGACCCUAUGGGAAAUGCAUACAAAUGACUUCUUUUAGAGAACCACUGACUGGAAUGAAACCAAACAUGGCAUGAAUGUUCCUUAUGAGGUGCUGACCAAGUGUUGUUACUUUGUAGCCGAUCCAUCAUCCAAGAUGGCCGCCAGCGGGGGACUUAGUUUAACAUAGGACCCUAUGGGAAAUGCAUACAAAUGACUUCUUUUAGAGAACCACUGAAUGGAAUGAAACCAAACAUGGCAUGAAUGUUCCUUAUGAAGUGCUGACCAAGUGUUGUUACUUUGUAGCCGAUCCAUCAUCCAAGAUGGC